RNAcentral lists this ribosomal RNA (484 nucleotides) under uncultured bacterium. Its description in RNAcentral is "partial 16S ribosomal RNA". It matches the Rfam family "Bacterial small subunit ribosomal RNA", at positions 30 to 507 of the family's 1533-position model. The record is from RNAcentral.
AUUGAACGCUGGCGGAAUGCUUUACACAUGCAAGUCGAACGGCAGCACGGGGGCAACCCUGGUGGCGAGUGGCGAACGGGUGAGUAAUACAUCGGAACGUGCCCGGUCGUGGGGGAUAACGUAGCGAAAGUUACGCUAAUACCGCAUACGAUCUGAGGAUGAAAGCGGGGGACCUUCGGGCCUCGCGCGGUCGGAGCGGCCGAUGUCAGAUUAGGUAGUUGGUGGGGUAAAGGCCUACCAAGCCGACGAUCUGUAGCUGGUCUGAGAGGACGACCAGCCACACUGGGACUGAGACACGGCCCAGACUCCUACGGGAGGCAGCAGUGGGGAAUUUUGGACAAUGGGCGCAAGCCUGAUCCAGCCAUUCCGCGUGCAGGACGAAGGCCUUCGGGUUGUAAACUGCUUUUGUAUGGAACGAAAAGGCUCUGGCUAAUACCUGGGGCUCAUGACGGUACCGUAAGAAUAAGCACCGGCUAACUACGUG